This 253-nucleotide ribosomal RNA is filed under the name uncultured bacterium. RNAcentral's name for it is "partial 16S ribosomal RNA". It matches the Rfam family "Bacterial small subunit ribosomal RNA", at positions 524 to 776 of the family's 1533-position model. The record is from RNAcentral.
GACGUAGGAGGCAAGCGUUAUCCGGAGUUACUGGGCGUAAAGAGUGCGUAGGCGGACGUGUAAGUGGGUGGUGAAAGCGCCCGGCUAAACCGGGCGAGGUCCAUUCAGACUGCAGGUCUAGAGGCGGAUAGAGGGGUGCGGAAUUCCGGGUGUAGCGGUGAAAUGUGUAGAGAUCCGGAGGAACACCAGUGGUGCAAACGGCGCCCUGGGUCCGAACUGACGCUGAAGCACGAAAGCGUGGGGAGCGAACGGG